This 321-nucleotide unclassified non-coding RNA is filed under the name Hevea brasiliensis (rubber tree). The record is from RNAcentral. Lineage: Eukaryota; Viridiplantae; Streptophyta; Magnoliopsida; Malpighiales; Euphorbiaceae.
AAAAAGGAAAUGCCAUGUGGGGAUGAUCAAAUCAUAUGUGCAUGGAAACAUUGCUUAAACAUUUGUAUAGCCCUAAAGAUUGCCUAUAAUACCCUAUAAAUGACAUAUUAUAUACAGUUAGAGCUUGAUAAGAGCCGGCAUCUGUCAUUUCAUCUUUUGUAUAAUUUUUGUGUUCUUCCUGCUUAACUGUAUUUCAAGAUUAAAAUGCAAUGUGAACCAAACACUUUAUGUGUUCUUCAGUUCUUCAGACAAAUGAGCCAAGGUCCCUAUGUGCAACACAUUGCAGUGAUGGAUUUGCCUCAGUACAAGAGCAUGCAGAUA